GCCUUAGCGCGGUGGUCCCACCUGACCCCAUGCCGAACUCAGAAGUGAAACGCCGUAGCGCCGAUGGUAGUGUGGGGUUUCCCCAUGCGAGAGUAGGGAACUGCCAGGC
RNAcentral lists this ribosomal RNA (109 nucleotides) under Escherichia coli. The record is from RNAcentral. Lineage: Bacteria; Pseudomonadati; Pseudomonadota; Gammaproteobacteria; Enterobacterales; Enterobacteriaceae.